AGGUAGAGAGGCAGAGAGAGAGGAGAGGGGAGGCAGAGACAGUGGGAGAAGGUAGAGAGGCAGAGAGAGAGAGGGAAGGAGAGAGGAGGCAGAGAGUGGGAGAAGGUAACGAGAGAGAGAAAGAGAGAGAGGGGGGGGGGUAGAGAGGCAGAGACAGAGGGAGAUGAUAUAGAGGCAGAGAGAGAGAGGAAGGAGAGAGGGGCCAUAAAGUGGGAGAGGGUGGAGAGGAAGGAGAGAGGGGACAGAAAGUGGGAGAGGGUGGAGAGGAAGGAGAGAGGGAAGGAGAGGAGGCAGAGAUAGCGUGAGAGAGUAGAGAGGCAGAGAGAGGGAAUUAGAGAGGAGGUCGAGACAGUGGGCAAGGAUAUAGAGGCAGAGAGAGGAGGCAGACAGUGGGAGAAGCACAGAGGGAAGGAGAGGCAGACAGAGAGAGGGGCAGGGAAAGGUAUAGAGAGGUGGAAGGAGAGGAAAGAAGAGAGGAGGCAUAGAGAGAGAGGGAAGGGAGAGGCAGAGAGAGGGAAGGAGAGGCAGAGAGAGAGGGGGAAGGAAAGGCAGAGAGAGGGGGGAAGGAGAGGCAGCGAGAGGGAAGGAGAGGCAGAGAGAGAGGGGGGAGGCAGAGAGAGAGAGGGGAAGGAGAGGCAGAGAGAGAGGGGGGAGGUAGAGAAAGAGAGGGGAAGGAGAGGCAGAGAGAGAGAGAGCGGAGAGUCAGAGAGAGAGAGGUGGUAGGAGAGGCAGAGAGAGGGAGAGGUAGUGAGAGCAAGAGGGAGAAGCAGAGAGGGAAGAGAGGGAUAGGGGAAGGCAGAGAGCGAUAGAGAGAGAGAAGAGCGAGAGGGAAGGGGUGAGGCACAGAAAAAAGGUGCUUA
This 860-nucleotide long non-coding RNA is filed under the name Salmo salar (Atlantic salmon). RNAcentral's name for it is "lncRNA (ENSSSAG00000113714.1)". The record is from RNAcentral. Lineage: Eukaryota; Metazoa; Chordata; Actinopteri; Salmoniformes; Salmonidae.